ACUGGUGAACCUACCCAGGAUUGUGGAAGCUCUGGCAGCGCAGAAAACACAGACAUCACAGGCCUCCAGCCAUGCUAGAACUGCCAUUAGAUAGUACACCAACCAUCCGAUUUUGUAACUACAGUCAAACCUGCACAAGACAACCACUUGAGGGACCCGGCAAAAGCGGCCGGUUUUGGACAAGUGGUCGGUUUGAAGAGUAUCAGCUCACAACAUGCCCGAGGCAUAGUAUAAAUGGUUUCCAAUUUUCGUACAACAAGAUUUCUUCCCAUCAGCAGACUACCCCAUUGACCCCAAAUGACCCAUCCACGUGCAUCCUCCGCGAUCUUUAUUUGGAACAUAACCUCUUAUGGCAGUCAAAAUCCGACGCAAACUGGCCACGCUAGUUAUCAUCGAAAACCGAUGACACCUCGAGCUUGAAAAUGACGCGGUCGUUAUGGGCAGUGAUUUGGUCCUGUGUGGUCCCAAGUUUUGGCAGUCGCAGUCGCUUAAUGCUUACAUCAAUGGGGAAAAUUUUCGAGACUUAGAAAAAGCGGUCGUAAUGACCAGAUGGUCGGCUAGAAGGGGUGGUCACUUGGGCAGGUUUGACUGUAAUGUGUGGUAAGAAGUCUGGAAAUUGUUUUUUUACUUUUUACUGUGGAAGUUUCAUUUUUUACCUGAUGCAAACUGUACAUAUUUUUAAUUUGUAUCAGUGUAUAUCCAGAUUUUAUGUAUUGUAUGCAAGCUAGUUUGUAGCGUAACUUUUGUACAUUACAUAUUGUAUAGUAACAACUGCCCAAGAGUACCACUUACGGGACUGACAAGAUUUGGUCUAUUUGGACAGGUGGCGACUAUAGACAGGAUUUUAAGUGCUUGUGUGAAUGGAAAAAUUAUUCCCACAACCACCAAAAAAUUAGACCAGUGGUCCUUAUGUAGAUAUGUAGAGGUGGUCACUAGUACAGGUUUUACUGUUAAUAGGUUUUCUGGCCUUCCAUACAUAAACUUUGCUAUUGCCUGUUCAUUCUUGUGAUGAAUAUUAUUAUUAAAUUAAUGUAAACAACAUGUUGGCAACUCAUAGUUUUGAUAUCAAUGACAAGGAAUUGGUCAGAAAGGAUUGUUUUUAUGCAGAUCUUUUAACACAUAAGAAAUUGAUACUUUAGACAUAUUGUGGUAAAGUGUUAUUUUUGUACAUAAAAUAGUUCAAGGAAAUACUCUCACAGUAUAUAGACCAAAUUCUUUUCCUGAAAAGCUGAUACCGCACUAAUCUAAUGUUUGGGGAGCAAGUGUAAUGGGUGAAAAUUGCUGAUGAAGAAAUAUAACUAAAGGCAGCUGUUGUCAACUUUUUUUCUUCAAGAUGAAUAAACUGGAAGAAAUGGAAAAACUAGA
Molecule: long non-coding RNA, 1365 nt
Organism: Branchiostoma floridae (Florida lancelet)
Lineage: Eukaryota; Metazoa; Chordata; Leptocardii; Amphioxiformes; Branchiostomatidae
Exons: 2
Source: RefSeq, a predicted model, not a curated record